RNAcentral lists this ribosomal RNA (301 nucleotides) under uncultured bacterium. RNAcentral's name for it is "partial 16S ribosomal RNA". It matches the Rfam family "Bacterial small subunit ribosomal RNA", at positions 509 to 807 of the family's 1533-position model. The record is from RNAcentral.
CAGUAGCCACGGUAACACGAACCGUGCGAACGUUAUUCGGAAUCAUUGGGCUUAAAGCGCGUGUAGGCGGAUGGGAACGUCGGUCGCUGAAAUACCCCCGGCUCAACCGGGGAACUGGCAUCGAAACGACCCGUCUCGAGGGGCAUAGGGGGAGCUGGAACUUCCGGUGGAGCGGUGAAAUGCGUUGAGAUCGGAAGGAACGCCCGUGGCGAAAGCGAGCUCCUGGAUGUCUUCUGACGCUGAGACGCGAGAGCUAGGGUAGCGAACGGGAUUAGAUACCCGCGUAGUCCCUGUCUCUUAU